AGACCUCAGGGAGACUCCUCAGCACCCUGUCUUCAGGGUAAUUUCAUUUGGAUCUCCUCCUUCCUUCCACCCUUUAUGUCGGGAUUUAAGGCUGUUCAGGCAGAGACAUUACAUUUGAUUCACUGACUCCAGACCACAGGCGAACUUCGAACUAAAUUUUCCUGGGCUCAGAUGCAGAAUAUGACACAUGGGAAGAUGAAGGAAUUUGACGAAAGUCACUCAAAGUCUAC
Molecule: long non-coding RNA, 230 nt
Filed under: Calidris pugnax (ruff)
Lineage: Eukaryota; Metazoa; Chordata; Aves; Charadriiformes; Scolopacidae
Description: lncRNA (ENSCPUG00000005295.1)
Source: RNAcentral